AACGAACGCUGGCGGCAUGCCUAACACAUGCAAGUCGAACGAGACCUUCGGGUCUAGUGGCGCACGGGUGCGUAACGCGUGGGAACCUGCCCUUAGGUUCGGAAUAACUCCCCGAAAGGGGUGCUAAUACCGGAUAAUGUCUUCGGACCAAAGAGUUAUCGCCUUUGGAUGGGCCCGCGUUGGAUUAGCUAGUUGGUAGGGUAAAAGCCUACCAAGGCGACGAUCCAUAGCUGGUCUGAGAGGAUGAUCAGCCACACUGGGACUGAGACACGGCCCAGACUCCUACGGGAGGGAGCAGUGGGGAAUAUUGGGCAAUGGGCGAAAGCAUGAUCCAGCAAUGCCGCGUGAGUGAUGAAGGCCUUAGGGUUGUAAAGCUCUUUUACCCGGGAUGAUAAUGACAGUACCGGGAGAAUAAGCGCCGGCUAACUCCGUG
Molecule: ribosomal RNA, 433 nt
Filed under: uncultured bacterium
Lineage: Bacteria
Description: partial 16S ribosomal RNA
Rfam family: Bacterial small subunit ribosomal RNA
Source: RNAcentral